RNAcentral lists this long non-coding RNA (476 nucleotides) under Homo sapiens (human). RNAcentral describes it as "non-protein coding lnc-THAP12-1:8". The record is from RNAcentral. Lineage: Eukaryota; Metazoa; Chordata; Mammalia; Primates; Hominidae.
UAGCGGCCAAGAUGGCGCUAGCGGUUGGAGCAGGGGCUCUGCUGCGACCUUUACGGUAGUGAGGUUAGGGACGAUGGGAGAGCAGCUUUGUUCCUGAAGUGCCGUCGAGGAUUAGGAUCGAGUUUCUUCGAUCGUGAGGGCAAUUAUUAGUGGCCUCUAGCCCCCCAGAUGGCAUCUUGAGGAGAGAGAAUCCACGCUACGAGAACUAACAUAGUGGACAUCGCAGUUGUCCGUAGCCGAUUUGCGGGUUACGGAGUUGUUGCAAGUAAAGAAGGGGAAAUCCGAGCGUUCUCGCGUUGGAUUUCCUCCACGUGUGAAGUGGGAAUGGUAGUGAUAUCUCGUGCUAUCUCUGUCAAGGGCAAGAAGGAGAAGGAAUUUAUUUGAGGCCCUACGACGUGGGACAGAAGGUGAGGGAGUGAGAAAAAUCGAAGCCAGAGGAAAAUCUAUCAUACCCCAAGAGAUGAAGAGCACAUAAA